UUUAUGAUUCAAUUACAUUUGUUUACUUAUUAAAUUGUUUAUGAUUUUAUCAUAAUACACAAGACCAGGCUAAGAGAAGUAUCUAGUAUUAGAAAGCAGAAGAUGACCAAAAGCCAGCCUUUUCCUCUUCAUCAUAUGGGAUGUGUACAUGCAGACAAAAAUGGUGAUUGCACUAAUGUCUUCCUUCGCACAUGGUCUGACCUCUUGUAGCCAAAAGACCUAAAAGUCAGUUUUAUAUAAUUGCCAAAUGAUUUCAGUUCAAUGAAGGGACUUAUCAUGCAGAGACAUCCAUACACAGUUUUGGAGGGGGGCAUCACCUAUCCAUAGAUAAACAGCCUCAGUGUGUACUGCUGCAGUGCAUAUAAAUUAAAAUAUUGCAACUCCUCCCAGGUGGCCAACACCAAGGGCAGGGACAUGGCUGAUGGUGCCUACUCUAAUUAACAGUGUAUGCAGGGUAGCUGCAACACUACAGAUGUAGUUAGAAGGAAGACAAUUAGCUACAGCUUACUGAUAAACAGUGUAAAUGUGAGCGGGAGAUUGAGUCAGCAUGUGUGACACUUAGACUGGCAUAGCUUUUAACAUGACCAUAUGAUCCAGAGGGCAUGUUAACAGCUCUGGUUUCUAGCAUGAAUAAGUUUAGUUGUAAAGCAGCAGUUUUGUGAGCUUUCUGGGCAGAAAAGCCAGUGCAAAGCACAGGGCAGAGAGGAGACCAAUGUAGCCCAGCACAGCCCAGAAGCCCACUGCUGACCCCCACAUCACACUCUAGAAUGAUCUUGUCUUUGUAGUACUUCAUGUUCUUGUUGGGGAAAGGAGGGGAUAAUGUUAACCAGAGCACACAAAUUAGCACCUGUAUGAGAGUGAAUACAAGGACACUGAGCCUCUGCUGAGAAGGUCCAAACCAUUUCAUGACAUUACUGCCUGGGAGUGUAGCCCUGAAGGCCAUUAACACCACUAUUGUUUUCCCCAGAACACAAGAGAUGCAGAGGACAAAGGUGAUCCCAAACGCCGUGUGGCGCAGCAUACAGGACCAGUGAGAGGGUCGGCCGAUGAAAGGCAAACUUCUUAUUUGAAGGCAAAGACGCAUCAUACAGUCCAACUGUCUUAAACUUCAUGGUUCCUGCAUCAGUGAGGUGCCAGUUUACCAGUUCAUAUCUUGCUAUUGGAUCUCCAUUAAUGUCAAAGGACACCUGCUCACCAUAUUUGGUUGUGAAAUUUACCUUUUCCAGUGGUCUGAAUUGGGGUCCAUAGCUGCUGUUGAUGAUGGAGCGACCUACAUUGUCUUCCAGGAUAUUGUGCAGAGCAUGUGCAACUGCAUAAACUGCUGCAUAUACUUUGUUGGAUAUUCUAAGAUCAGAUACAUC
Long non-coding RNA from Brienomyrus brachyistius, 1361 nucleotides. RefSeq lists it as uncharacterized. The transcript is spliced from 3 exons. Lineage: Eukaryota; Metazoa; Chordata; Actinopteri; Osteoglossiformes; Mormyridae. The record is from RefSeq and is a predicted model, not a curated record.